AUUGAACGCUGGCGGCAUGCCUUACACAUGCAAGUCGAACGGUAACGCGGGGCAACCUGGCGACGAGUGGCGAACGGGUGAGUAAUGCAUCGGAACGUGCCCAGUAUGGGGGAUAGCCCGGCGAAAGCCGGAUUAAUACCGCAUACGACCUACGGGUGAAAGCGGGGGACCUAAGGGCCUCGCGGCUAUUGGAGCGGCCGAUGUCAGAUUAGGAGUUGGUGGGGUAAAGGCCUACCAAGCCUUCGAUCUGUAGCUGGUCUGAGAGGACGACCAGCCACACUGGGACUGAGACACGGCCCAGACUCCUACGGGAGGCAGCAGUGGGGAAUUUUGGACAAUGGGCGCAAGCCUGAUCCAGCCAUG
This 363-nucleotide ribosomal RNA is filed under the name uncultured bacterium. RNAcentral's name for it is "bacterial SSU rRNA". It matches the Rfam family "Bacterial small subunit ribosomal RNA", at positions 29 to 396 of the family's 1533-position model. The record is from RNAcentral.